CACGUAGGCGGCCUGGUAAGUCAGAUGUGAAAGCCCGGGGCUUAACCCCGGAAGUGCAUUUGAUACUGCUAGGCUUGAGUAUGGGAGAGGGAAGUGGAAUUCCUGGUGUAGAGGUGAAAUUCGUAGAUAUCAGGAGGAACACCGGUGGCGAAGGCGACUUCCUGGACCAGUACUGACGCUGAGGUGCGAAGGCGUGGGUAGCAAACA
This 207-nucleotide ribosomal RNA is filed under the name uncultured bacterium. RNAcentral's name for it is "partial 16S ribosomal RNA". It matches the Rfam family "Bacterial small subunit ribosomal RNA", at positions 568 to 774 of the family's 1533-position model. The record is from RNAcentral.